Molecule: ribosomal RNA, 253 nt
Filed under: uncultured bacterium
Lineage: Bacteria
Description: partial 16S ribosomal RNA
Rfam family: Bacterial small subunit ribosomal RNA
Source: RNAcentral
UACGUAGGGUGCGAGCGUUAAUCGGAAUUACUGGGCGUAAAGCGUGCGCAGGCGGUUUUGUAAGCCAGAUGUGAAAGCCCCGGGCUUAACCUGGGAAUGGCAUUUGGGACUGCAAGGCUUGAGUGCGGCAGAGGAGACUGGAAUUCCUGGUGUAGCAGUGAAAUGCGUAGAUAUCAGGAGGAACACCAGCGGCGAAGGCGGCGCUCUGGGCUGGAACUGACGCUGAGGAGCGAAAGCGUGGGGAGCGAACAGG